Cavia porcellus (domestic guinea pig) is the source of this 73-nucleotide transfer RNA. It matches the Rfam family "tRNA". Rfam says of the family: Transfer RNA (tRNA) molecules are approximately 80 nucleotides in length. Their secondary structure includes four short double-helical elements and three loops (D, anti-codon, and T loops). The record is from Rfam. NCBI's taxonomy places the organism in Eukaryota, Metazoa, Chordata, Mammalia, Rodentia, Caviidae.
GGGGAUUUAGCUCAGUGGCAUAAGCAUCUGCCUGGCAAGCACAAGGUCAUGAGUUCAAUCCCCAAUACCCCCC